GCUGCGGUACCGAAAUGGUUAUAACGGCGUAGUCUUGAAAACUAUUGUGUCCUUAGUGACCUCAAGGUUCGAAUCCUUGUCGCAGCG
RNAcentral lists this transfer RNA (87 nucleotides) under Bacteriophage sp. RNAcentral's name for it is "tRNA-Ser". It matches the Rfam family "tRNA". From Rfam's summary of the family: Transfer RNA (tRNA) molecules are approximately 80 nucleotides in length. Their secondary structure includes four short double-helical elements and three loops (D, anti-codon, and T loops). Further hydrogen bonds mediate the characteristic L-shaped molecular structure. tRNAs have two regions of fundamental functional importance: the anti-codon, which is responsible for specific mRNA codon recognition, and the 3' end, to which the tRNAs corresponding amino acid is attached (by aminoacyl-tRNA synthetases). tRNAs cope with the degeneracy of the genetic code in two manners: having more than one tRNA (with a specific anti-codon) for a particular amino acid; and 'wobble' base-pairing, i.e. permitting non-standard base-pairing at the 3rd anti-codon position. The record is from RNAcentral.